GCGUGGGCUACUAAUACAUGCAAGUCGAGCGAAUGGAUUAAGAGCUUGCUCUUAUGAAGUUAGCGGCGGACGGGUGAGUAACACGUGGGUAACCUGCCCAUAAGACUGGGAUAACUCCGGGAAACCGGGGCUAAUACCGGAUAACAUUUUGAACCGCAUGGUUCGAAAUUGAAAGGCGGCUUCGGCUGUCACUUAUGGAUGGACCCGCGUCGCAUUAGCUAGUUGGUGAGGUAACGGCUCACCAAGGCAACGAUGCGUAGCCGACCUGAGAGGGUGAUCGGCCACACUGGGACUGAGACACGGCCCAGACUCCUACGGGAGGCAGCAGUAGGGAAUCUUCCGCAAUGGACGAAAGUCUGACGGAGCAACGCCGCGUGAGUGAUGAAGGCUUUCGGGUCGUAAAACUCUGUUGUUAGGGAAGAACAAGUGCUAGUUGAAUAAGCUGGCACCUUGACGGUACCUAACCAGAAAGCCACGGCUAACUACGUGCCAGCAGCCGCGGUAAUACGUAGGUGGCAAGCGUUAUCCGGAAUUAUUGGGCGUAAAGCGCGCGCAGGUGGUUUCUUAAGUCUGAUGUGAAAGCCCACGGCUCAACCGUGGAGGGUCAUUGGAAACUGGGAGACUUGAGUGCAGAAGAGGAAAGUGGAAUUCCAUGUGUAGCGGUGAAAUGCGUAGAGAUAUGGAGGAACACCAGUGGCGAAGGCGACUUUCUGGUCUGUAACUGACACUGAGGCGCGAAAGCGUGGGGAGCAAACAGGAUUAGAUAC
Molecule: ribosomal RNA, 767 nt
Filed under: Bacillus cereus
Lineage: Bacteria; Bacillati; Bacillota; Bacilli; Caryophanales; Bacillaceae
Description: bacterial SSU rRNA
Rfam family: Bacterial small subunit ribosomal RNA
Source: RNAcentral